Molecule: ribosomal RNA, 439 nt
Filed under: uncultured bacterium
Lineage: Bacteria
Description: partial 16S ribosomal RNA
Rfam family: Bacterial small subunit ribosomal RNA
Source: RNAcentral
CUACGGGGCGCUGCAGUGGGGAAUCUUAGACAAUGGGCGCAAGCCUGAUCUAGCCAUGCCGCGUGAGUGACGAAGGCCUUAGGGUCGUAAAGCUCUUUCGCUAGGGAAGAUAAUGACUGUACCUAGUAAAGAAACCCCGGCUAACUCCGUGCCAGCAGCCGCGGUAAUACGGAGGGGGUUAGCGUUGUUCGGAAUUACUGGGCGUAAAGCGCGCGUAGGCGGAUCAGAAAGUUGGGGGUGAAAUCCCAGGGCUCAACCCUGGAACUGCCUCCAAAACUCCUGGUCUUGAGUUCGAGAGAGGUGAGUGGAAUUCCGAGUGUAGAGGUGAAAUUCGUAGACAUUCGGAGGAACACCAGUGGCGAAGGCGGCUCACUGGCUCGAUACUGACGCUGAGGUGCGAAAGCGUGGGGAGCAAACAGGAUUAGAUACCCGGGUAGUC